RNAcentral lists this microRNA precursor (184 nucleotides) under Linum usitatissimum (flax). RNAcentral describes it as "miR399f stem-loop (lus-MIR399f)". Its record names the gene lus-MIR399f. The stretch from base 22 to 159 matches the Rfam family "mir-399 microRNA precursor family". Rfam says of the family: mir-399 was identified in both Arabidopsis thaliana and Oryza sativa computationally and was later experimentally verified. mir-399 is thought to target mRNAs coding for a phosphatase transporter. The mature sequence is excised from the 3' arm of the hairpin. The record is from miRBase by way of RNAcentral. Lineage: Eukaryota; Viridiplantae; Streptophyta; Magnoliopsida; Malpighiales; Linaceae.
GGGUCUGCUAGCUAGCUGCAUGAAUGAAUCACUGGGCUAAUACUUCUUUGGCAGUAGUUGAAAGGCUAAGUAGUUGGUCAGUUGGUUGUUUGCACCAAUUGCCAGACACGGUGCCGUUUCAAACAAACUGCCAAAGGAGAUUUGCCCAGCCUUUCAGCUCAUGCAUACAAAAGUCAUCAUCCCC